UACAGAGGUCCCAAGCGUUGUUCGGAUUCACUGGGCGUAAAGGGUGCGUAGGCGGUCGGGUAAGUCUGACGUGAAAUCUCACAGCUUAACUGUGAAACUGCAUUGGAUACUAUCCGGCUCGAGGAAUGGAGGGGAGACUGGAAUACUUGGUGUAGCAGUGAAAUGCGUAGAUAUCAAGUGGAACACCAGUGGCGAAGGCGAGUCUCUGGACAUUUCCUGACGCUGAGGCACGAAAGCCAGGGGAGCAAACGGG
Molecule: ribosomal RNA, 253 nt
Filed under: uncultured bacterium
Lineage: Bacteria
Description: partial 16S ribosomal RNA
Rfam family: Bacterial small subunit ribosomal RNA
Source: RNAcentral